Molecule: small RNA, 67 nt
Filed under: Arabidopsis thaliana (thale cress)
Lineage: Eukaryota; Viridiplantae; Streptophyta; Magnoliopsida; Brassicales; Brassicaceae
Description: ATSL046770
Source: RNAcentral
UUCGGUUCCAAUCGGGUUCGGAUUGGUUCGGUAUAGAAUUUUAGAACCGCUAAAUACCUGAAAAAAA